UGGUUUUUGAACUAGUUGUACCUUUUGUAACUGUUGAUGAUUCAGUUAGUUCAUCUUUUAACAGUGUUUGAACUUUUUGUAAGGCUGUAUCUGAUAUUUUAAUUGAUUUUCCUCCUGCAGUUGAAAAACCUUUACAGGUAUUGGUUUUUGUACUAGUUGUACUUUUUGGAACUGUUGAUGAUUCAGUUAGUUCAUCUUUUAACAGUGUUUGUGCUUUUUGUAAGGCUGUAUCUGAUAUUUUAAUCGAUUUUCCUCCUGCAGUUGAAAAACCUUUACAGGUAUUGGUUUUUGUACUAGUUGUACCUUUUGGAACUGUUGAUGAUUCAGUUAGUUCAUCUUUUAACAGUGUUUGAACUUUUUGUAAGGCUGUAUCUGAUAUUUUAAUCGAUUUUCCUCCUGCAGUUGAAAAACCUUUACAGGUA
Long non-coding RNA from Aphis gossypii (cotton aphid), 422 nucleotides. RefSeq lists it as uncharacterized. The record is from RefSeq and is a predicted model, not a curated record. NCBI's taxonomy places the organism in Eukaryota, Metazoa, Arthropoda, Insecta, Hemiptera, Aphididae. The transcript has 3 exons.